GGGGGAAAAAACAAGGUCGUAACCUCACAAAAUGUGAAAAAAUAUAGGGGUCUGAAUACUUUCCGAAUGCACUGAAAAACAACACACACUGCGGAGGCGGAAAGUACGGAGCAGUGUUGCAAUGUCAUUUUUAUACACUCCAACAUUCAACACAGUUUUUUGCUAUCUGGAAAUUGAGACGCGCCGUAUGAGAUGCAGAUGUAUUCGGACAAGAACACAAAAGCUAACAACUGGAGGGAGAUAUCAUGAAAUUUGAACACCGAUAUCAAAGAAAAAUGUAGAACAAUUCGGACCAGUAUGUUCGCAAUCUGAAAAAGGUGAAGAAGACAAGGAGUGUGGCUGCUGCCAAUUGUCCGAUAACUGGGUUGGCUUCAUCAUCAGGCAGACGCCAAUAUGCCAGAUCCGGUGUUGGGGAGGUAGGAUGGCAUUGUGGACAGACAAGAGACAGAACUGAGCCCCGAAGGCCCAUCUUCAGGUGGUUCAUCGCCCCUUGGUUCAUCAUCUCCCCAGCCUUGUUCAUCACGUCCCCGGCCCCUCUCACUAACGCACAAACCUCACUCUCUGCUCUGGCACUCCAUCAAUCCCCCCAACUUCCCGACCCAGCUCCAGUGGCCGGAAGAGUGACACAGCUGAGGAUCCUUUGGACACUAAUAUUAUACAGUUUAGGAUGUAAAGAAAGAUCGUCAUUGUCCAGCAAGUGCCAUCUACAACUUCCUCCUGUGACACUUUCUCCUGUGACACUUUCUCCUGUGAUACUUCCUCUUGUGAUACUUCCUCUUGUGGCUCUUCCUCUUGCGAUACUUCCUUGUGUGACACUUCCUCUUGUGAUACUUCCUCUUGUGACUCUUCCACUUGCGACACUUCCUCUUCUGACACUUCCUCUAGCGACACUUCCUCUAGCGACUCUUCCUCUUGUGACUCUUCCUCUUGUGUUACUUCCUCUUGCGAUGCUUCCUCUUGUGACACUUCAUAUUGUGCCACUUCCUCGUGACACUUCCUUGUGUGACACUUCCUCGUAUGACACUUCCUUGUAUGACACUUCUUAUUGUGAUACUUCCUCUUGUGACACUUCCGUUUGUGAUACUUCUCCUUGUGACAAUUCCUUGUGUGAUAUUUCCUCAUGACACAUCCUAUUGUGAUACCUCCUCUUGUGAUACUUCCUCUUGUGAUACUUCCUCUUGUGAUCGUUACCUGGGAAAAAAAAGUUAUAUGUUUGUCUGGUUAUUUGUACUUGUGGCAGAAAAUAUAUUUCUGUUCUUAAUCAGUCACUCAGUACUGCUUUGUACAUGAGCUAUGUAGACAAGGUUAAUGUCUUGGUGGUCUGUCAUUAUUGUCUAAAAAAGUCCUCAAUUGUUGAAAGGCCACGACACAUUAGGUUGUACACAUGUAGAUUAGCUAAAUGUCUUGUGGGUCUAAUCUUAAAAAAAUAGGACAAACUAAAACAGCACAAGGAUGAAGUGACUGUCAUCAUGGUACUCUUUAUUGUGAUUUGUAAAGUGUGAAUUAGAAAAACAUAAAAAAAUUCAAACAGCAAAACCAAGUGUGUAGCUUACAACAUGACAUACUGUAUAAACAGUCAUCACCCAGAGAAGGAG
Molecule: long non-coding RNA, 1595 nt
Filed under: Salmo salar (Atlantic salmon)
Lineage: Eukaryota; Metazoa; Chordata; Actinopteri; Salmoniformes; Salmonidae
Description: lncRNA (ENSSSAG00000118312.1)
Source: RNAcentral